GCACAUCACCGACACGCGUGUGUGGUACGUGGCGUGCUCCAGCCGGAGCCGCGCCUUGAGCAGGCCCCUGAACACUGGAAGCAGCACAGAGCAGCCGUCAGUGUCACCUUGCAGCGUCUUUUCUUCUCGUUCUGUACACUGCAAUCUUCGCCUAAGCACAGGCGAAGUUGGCGAGGUCACGGAACUUGUUAGCCAGGUAAGGCACCACCCCAUAUACAAAGCUGCUGUUGUAGAAGGGCACCCCCAGUAUCCUGAAGAUAUCCCCCAAAAGGCGUACCACUGAUUUGAGCCACUGGCAGCGUAAGUACUGGUGGGGCAGAUCCUCCCUGGCACUGCAGGAAAUGCACCAAGUCUGUUACCCCUGGCGAGAUUCGGCUGAGCCACACGACCGGUGGCAACGUGCAGCGUGCCAACCUCCACUGGAGGUCACCGCAGCGUUUGGCUACGGGAGACUUUGUACAUUUGUUUCCACUGGGGGGUGGCCGCAAUGAGGCGAGAGAAAUGGUCUCUCUGUUUUGUGUCCGGUAGGUCGGCCAGGUCCCGGGAAUCCAGCGCCUUGACACAGCCACGUGUAGAGCGCUGUGCUUGGGGCACUCUUCAGGGGCACGUUCCUGCAACCUCGGAGCUUCAGUAGCUUACCGGAGUCGCUGUGGCCUGGAGGCUGCAUGCAGGAGACGCACAACUCCGGGAAUAAGGAGGGGAGGGGGGGUAGUAGAGCCGCUACCGUCCCCUGACACCUCCAGCUUCAGGCGCAGCUCCUUCAUGGCGCGGAGCGACGUCCCGCAGCAGCUUCUCCCCGGCGAGCAUGGAGCGGAGUCCCGCGGUGCUGGCGAUCUCAGCUGCGGUCUUCCACUUAGGCUGGUGGGCCUGUACGAGGUCGAAGACUGUCCGCAGCCCUGCUGAUGUGAGGCGUAGAGGCAGGGUCAUCUCUCCUCUGAUCCCCUGGAAGAGGUCGUUGCAAAACACGGGUUCGUUCAGGAACUGCGGAAGGUCGUAGGGCGCGCACAUUCUGCUCGACUCGAAGCUCCGCAAGGCGACCAAGAUACUCUGGUGAUAAGCUUGAAGCCUCGUGUACUCGAUCAUGCUCAGGACCAUCAGGAAGAGCCCUUUCCGUACCCCAGGCACACCCCCCCCCCCCCCCCGGCGACUUCCAGGGUCGCUCCUCUCGGUCGUACAGUAGCCGCCUGACGGCCAUGAGCCUGAAGCUCAUUACCCUGAAGGCGACGUCCACCAGACCCUGGCCGCCCUCGCCCACCAGACCCUGGCCGCCCUCGCCCACCGGCAGGCAGACGACGCCCGGCCUGAGCCGGUGCUUUCUGUGCCAGACGAAGUGCGCGAGUGAGCGGUCGACUCUGGUGAGUAGCCAAGCAGGAGGCUGGAGGGCCUUGGUCUUGUGCCACAGCACGGAUGCUGCCAGGGUGUUAUCGACGAACACUCGGCCCCUGAAGGACAUCUGUGGAGCGAGGCGAGCCCAAGUCAGUAAUUUAGCCUCGAUUGUAUCAGCCAGCUCGGUCCAUUUGUUUAGAGCGACGUCACGUGGUUUCCCCAGGUAAACCCCCAGGUACUUGACUCAGUCGUCCUGCCAACUGGCUCCUCCUGGGAGAAGCACAAAGCGAACGCCGCCUCGUGACCCCAAACACAGAGGGGGCCUCGCACUUGGCCCAGUUGACCCUGGCGGAGGAGGCCCUCUCGUACACUGCAACCGCCUGGCAGAGCACGGAGGCAUAAUGUGUGUCGUUGAGCACGACGCAUGACGUCGUCUGUGUAAGCCGAGAACUUGACAACCGCGUUCUCAGGUCCCGGGACCUUGAGGCCAGACAGGUUUCAUCUCAGGUGGCGUAAUAGUGGCUCAACGGACAGGG
This is a non-coding RNA of Petromyzon marinus (sea lamprey), 1862 nucleotides long. Lineage: Eukaryota; Metazoa; Chordata; Hyperoartia; Petromyzontiformes; Petromyzontidae. The record is from RefSeq and is a predicted model, not a curated record.